AUGAACGCUGGCGGCGUGCCUAAUACAUGCAAGUCGAGCGAACAGACGAGGAGCUUGCUCCUCUGACGUUAGCGGCGGACGGGUGAGUAACACGUGGAUAACCUACCUAUAAGACUGGGAUAACUUCGGGAAACCGGAGCUAAUACCGGAUAAUAUAUUGAACCGCAUGGUUCAAUAGUGAAAGACGGUUUUGCUGUCACUUAUAGAUGGAUCCGCGCCGCAUUAGCUAGUUGGUAAGGUAACGGCUUACCAAGGCAACGAUGCGUAGCCGACCUGAGAGGGUGAUCGGCCACACUGGAACUGAGACACGGUCCAGACUCCUACGGGAGGCAGCAGUAGGGAAUCUUCCGCAAUGGGCGAAAGCCUGACGGAGCAACGCCGCGUGAGUGAUGAAGGUCUUCGGAUCGUAAAACUCUGUUAUUAGGGAAGAACAAAUGUGUAAGUAACUAUGCACGCCUUGACGGUACCUAAUCAGAAAGCCACGGCUAACUACGCG
This 496-nucleotide ribosomal RNA is filed under the name uncultured bacterium. RNAcentral describes it as "partial 16S ribosomal RNA". It matches the Rfam family "Bacterial small subunit ribosomal RNA", at positions 29 to 507 of the family's 1533-position model. The record is from RNAcentral.